This 87-nucleotide transfer RNA is filed under the name Gemmatimonadota bacterium. RNAcentral's name for it is "Gemmatimonadetes bacterium (soil metagenome) tRNA-Leu". It matches the Rfam family "tRNA". From Rfam's summary of the family: Transfer RNA (tRNA) molecules are approximately 80 nucleotides in length. Their secondary structure includes four short double-helical elements and three loops (D, anti-codon, and T loops). Further hydrogen bonds mediate the characteristic L-shaped molecular structure. tRNAs have two regions of fundamental functional importance: the anti-codon, which is responsible for specific mRNA codon recognition, and the 3' end, to which the tRNAs corresponding amino acid is attached (by aminoacyl-tRNA synthetases). tRNAs cope with the degeneracy of the genetic code in two manners: having more than one tRNA (with a specific anti-codon) for a particular amino acid; and 'wobble' base-pairing, i.e. permitting non-standard base-pairing at the 3rd anti-codon position. The record is from RNAcentral. RNAcentral also lists the same sequence under 1 other name. Lineage: Bacteria; Pseudomonadati; Gemmatimonadota.
GCCCAAGUGGUGGAAAUGGUAGACACGCUGUCUUGAGGGGGCAGUGGCCGAAAGGUCGUGGGAGUUCGAAUCUCCCCUUGGGCACCA